This 248-nucleotide long non-coding RNA is filed under the name Homo sapiens (human). Its description in RNAcentral is "non-protein coding lnc-R3HDML-1:1". The record is from RNAcentral. Lineage: Eukaryota; Metazoa; Chordata; Mammalia; Primates; Hominidae.
AGGUGUCAUCCAGAGGGCACUGUGUUUGAGAGAACAGCUCUCUCACAGUGAAAGUUCAGGUCUGUGACAGGCAGAUGGGAGAGGGGUUGGCAGCCCUCCUGAGUGGAUGGCUACCCACCUCCACUGCGUGUGGCCUGGUCCUGCGUGUGGUCAGUUGUUAUAAAUGUCUUUUAUUAGACAUCCAGAGUCAUUUUCACUUGUGUAAUUUAGGGACAUUUCUGUCUCUUCUGGGCUCUAGUUUUCCCAUC